Molecule: ribosomal RNA, 200 nt
Filed under: uncultured bacterium
Lineage: Bacteria
Description: partial 16S ribosomal RNA
Rfam family: Bacterial small subunit ribosomal RNA
Source: RNAcentral
AGAGUUUGAUCAUGGCUCAGGAUAAACGCUGGCGGCGUGCCUAACACAUGCAAGUCGAACGCCCUGUGCGAAGGUACAGGGAGUGGCGGACGGGUGAGUAACACGUGGGUGACCUACCUGAAGGUGAGGAAUACCGGCGAGAAAUCGCCGACAAGACCGCAUAGCCUCUCUCGCGUGAGAGAGGAAAGCUUGAAAGAGCG